AUACGUAGGGGGCAAGCGUUAUCCGGAAUUACUGGGUGUAAAGGGAGCGCAGACGGCUAAGCAAGUCUGAUGUGAAAGUCAUGGGCUCAACCCAUGGAUUGCAUUGGAUACUGCCGCGCUUGAGUGCAGGAGAGGUUAUCGGAAUUCCAGGUGUAGCGGUGAACUGCGUAGAGAUCGGGAGGAACACCAGUGGCGAAGGCGGGUAACUGGACUGCAACUGACGCUGAGGCGCGAAAGUGUGGGGAGCAAACAGGAUUAGAUACCCUGGUAGUCCACACUGUAAACGAUGAAUGCUAGGUGUAAGAGGUAUCGACCCCUUUUGUGCCGGAGUCAACACAAUAAGCAUUCCGCCUGGGGAGUACGGCCGCAAGGUUGAAACUCAAAGGAAUUGACGGGG
RNAcentral lists this ribosomal RNA (397 nucleotides) under uncultured bacterium. Its description in RNAcentral is "partial 16S ribosomal RNA". It matches the Rfam family "Bacterial small subunit ribosomal RNA", at positions 523 to 918 of the family's 1533-position model. The record is from RNAcentral.